AGGAACCGGAUGCGGGAAAACUGCACGUCCGGGUCUGUGCGGGGGGCGCCCGGUAACGGGCGUCCCUACCGUGCGAUGGACACUUUCUAUUGUCUUUGGUUUCGGAUCCGAUUCGAAC
This 118-nucleotide unclassified non-coding RNA is filed under the name Candidatus Kentrum sp. DK. Lineage: Bacteria; Pseudomonadati; Pseudomonadota; Gammaproteobacteria. The record is from RNAcentral.